Molecule: non-coding RNA, 3027 nt
Organism: Tetranychus urticae (two-spotted spider mite)
Lineage: Eukaryota; Metazoa; Arthropoda; Arachnida; Trombidiformes; Tetranychidae
Source: RefSeq, a predicted model, not a curated record
CUUACCUGCCAAUUUCCUCGGCAAUGAUGUAAUCCAUUUCAAUGGGCUCGGAUUUAAAUUGUUUCAUGUUUUUAGCUUUCUCUCUUUAUUACCCGUUUGAUGUUACUUUUUGGUAGCCGUUCAACUUUAAUAUUUAUGCUUUUCUUGGCUUUUUUUCAAUGUAACUUUUUGUGUUUUUGUUUUAAUUCACUGCUGAUAAUACGAUGAUGAAUACGGUAAUGAUGUAUUUGUUUACACUUCAUCUAUGGUGACUGUACAAUUAAACACUGGAGAAGGUUAUAAACGAGGAUUCACAGUGACAAUUGCAGAUUAAAACAUGGUGAUAUCGAGAAGAUGAGGUUAAACAUGAUUAUGGUUUCAAUACACAAACAAAAGUAAACUUAAGCUUUGGAGAAAUAAAUAUACACGGAUAAUGUUGACGUUGAUAUGGAACAGGUCAAAAACAAAAACAAACUAUGCAUGAAGGUUAACACAGAUGAUGAUGUCCACUUGUCAAAAUACUCGACAUGGUCCACAGUGACAUGGAUGGUAACUUGAUGACCAACUGGUAGAGGGAAUGUUUACGUUAAGAUGAAGAUCACACCUAUUGACAAGAUCACUGGACGUAAAUGAUGAGAGGAUGUAGAUAAAGAAGAUUCCAAUGAAGAAAGAAUGGCAAAUCUCGUUGUGACUUUUUUUUACUGAUGUUUCAGAUUCCUCUUCCACCUCCAAACCUGAUGUUUAACGAUUUCUGGUGCAUACUGAAUCAAAGAUAAACCAACCUUCAGGAUGAAAGUUAUUAAGCUUCGGUAUCAAGAUGAAUUCAUUAAAUUGGAACUGCUUGGAUCUUCAAUUCUAUGAAACUUUUAGAGUUUGGUAUUUCAUUAUAUUCCUAUUACCUGAGGUUAUCUGAGCGGCAAACUUUCUUAUUCUACCAUUUGCUUCAGUCUAUGAUUUCAAUUAGAGCAAUUGCGAUGUCACUUUCACUUUAUUGAUAUUGAGCUCAAUAAGUUUGUUUAGAAGUGACUGCAAAUUAUGGAAUCUCUAUGGCAAUUUAGCGAAAGUAAAGUGAUACUAAUUAUGAUAAUUAAUUCCACUCUGAUUUAACAAUUACUCAUUAACCAUUAAUACACUCAAUGGCAUUACCAAACAGUUAACUCAGACCCAACAUCAGGACAGUUGAUUAACCCUUAAGGUAUUGUUAAAAUUACUUUUGGAUUCGAUAUAUUUCAAGUUGCAUUCAAUAAUGAAUAACUGGUUAUUAAUACACAUGUCAACACUUACAACUUCAUCUUGUUCCUGGUUAAUGAUUAAUGCAGAAUCUGGUUAUGAUGAUGAUACCAAAAUGUGAUUGGAAUCGGUCUUCAUUCUGGGUAAUCAAGUUGGUAGUGCGUCUCACAACUGAAACACUUUUUUUAUAUAAAUGGUUAUAAAAUGAUCAAGAUUUUGUUACAUCGCUUACUACCUUAGGAGACAUUUUGAGGUCAAGAGAAGCAAUAAUAAUUUAAUCAACAGCAGACUCACAUGCAGCAGACAAGUUGUUAACAGUUUACCAUCAACAACAUCAACAUACAAACCUAAUACAACCAGCACAAUCAAAAGACAAAGAUAACUCACGGUUAAUCGUUCAAUAGCAACAUCUCUUUUCAACACUCUGAUAAAAGUGACUUGAUUUCAUCAGAAAAAAUAAUAAUGGCUACCAACAAAACUCAGCAUGUCUUUUUGUUACUGUCAACCACCAACAUGGUGUGACCUGUUGCUGCAACAAUCAACUUUAAUCAUCAUCACCAUAAUCAUUUCCCAACAAUGAUAACAACAAAGUAAAUCCUCUACUUUUUUUUCUCCGUUUAAUUCAUCAAAAAAAGGAGAAUGAAUAAAAUUAAAAGGAUAAAAUAUUCAUGGUUAUUUGACCAAGGCAACUUUGUUAUUUAAUCUUUUACCAAUCAAUGAACAAAGCUUUCACAUCAUGAGGAGAAAGACGAAGUUAAAGUUGUUCGCUAUCACCAUGAAAGAUGUUUAAUCAAGGUGGAAUCAAUUUGACUUUCUAAUGGCAAAUUUUAGUCUUUUACUCAACCUUUGAACCAGUUGAACAAAGUUGAUUUUGGAUGAAUAAAGUCCUGUUAUUGAUGGUUAUGGCGAGUCUUUUCAUUUGAGCCAAUUGACCAACUCAAGUAGCUUCAGUGAUAACACUUAAUGACCAUUUAAUUCAACCUUUUAUCCGAUUGCUAAUUAAAUAUUGGAUACAAUCUUCUAUUUUCAUGGAAAAUUUAUGCUGUGGGAUAAUAAGUGAAUUGUAAUUGUCAUCAUCUUUUACUGCUAUUAUUACCUGUUAUUACAUUCACAUCAACACCAGGAGACAAUCAACGUUCGUUGUUUUUGCUGGAGAAACAGAGAAAACAUUGAGUGUGGAAUAUAUUUUUUCAAGCUUAAUUUAAAUGUGAAAUAAAGGUGGUAAUAAUGAUGAUUGAGAAUGUCAACCUUUCUUUCCGUGAAUCUCAAUCAUCAAGGUUUUUGUCGGAGAGGAGGAUGAAGCAAAGGAUAGGCGAAAAGGCAGUAGCCAGUUUUAUUUUUGGCUUGUUUUGCCUUUUCAACUUCAUUCUUGUGGUCAAUUUGGAAGCAUGAACAUCAUCAUCAACCAAGAACGCAAGCUGAUAAAAUGCUGAUGGAUAAAAAGGCAACGCGAUGAUAAAGAAGAUGAAAAUGAUGAAGUAAAUGACAACUUCAAUUUUGAAUGCUCACAAUUGCUUUCCACCACUAGUAAUGAUCUUAUACUGGCGGAUUGUACCUCACUGCUACUGUUGACUUAAUUAUUAUCGGCAUAAUCAUUGAAAUGUAGUUGCUGUUGACUUAAAUUGUUCAUCUUGAUACAUCUCACUGUUAACAAUUUACUCUCACUGCCUUUCAUUUUCCAAUUCAUUCUCUUUCCAUCAAACUCUUUUCAUUUUUGCUGCCAAUAAAUGGUCACUUUGCCAUUAAGGGACCAGUUGUGUCACUUUCACAAUCAAAUCACCCGGAACAUAUAAAUCAAUCUUGAUUCUCCUCUCAACA